Molecule: ribosomal RNA, 498 nt
Filed under: soil bacterium LU-P1-18
Lineage: Bacteria
Description: bacterial SSU rRNA
Rfam family: Bacterial small subunit ribosomal RNA
Source: RNAcentral
UGGGGAAUAUUGCACAAUGGGCGCAAGCCUGAUGCAGCGACGCCGCGUGAGGGAUGACGGCCUUCGGGUUGUAAACCUCUUUCAGCAGGGAAGAAGCGAGAGUGACGGUACCUGCAGAAGAAGCGCCGGCUAACUACGUGCCAGCAGCCGCGGUAAUACGUAGGGCGCAAGCGUUGUCCGGAAUUAUUGGGCGUAAAGAGCUCGUAGGCGGCUUGUCGCGUCGGUUGUGAAAGCCCGGGGCUUAACCCCGGGUCUGCAGUCGAUACGGGCAGGCUAGAGUUCGGUAGGGGAGAUCGGAAUUCCUGGUGUAGCGGUGAAAUGCGCAGAUAUCAGGAGGAACACCGGUGGCGAAGGCGGAUCUCUGGGCCGAUACUGACGCUGAGGAGCGAAAGCGUGGGGAGCGAACAGGAUUAGAUACCCUGGUAGUCCACGCCGUAAACGGUGGGCACUAGGUGUGGGCAACAUUCCACGUUGUCCGUGCCGCAGCUAACGCAUUAA